Molecule: small nucleolar RNA, 138 nt
Organism: Tachyglossus aculeatus (Australian echidna)
Lineage: Eukaryota; Metazoa; Chordata; Mammalia; Monotremata; Tachyglossidae
Source: RefSeq, a predicted model, not a curated record
CCCUUCUCAGGGUCGCACCUGGAGAGUUUCCAGUAUUCUACCAGUCUCGACUAUGGGAGGGAAAGUCAAGCAGAGGCAUACCAACUCCAUUCCUAGCGUGGGCAGUCACUAGUGAGUGUAAGGCAAUCAGCUACAAGU